RNAcentral lists this ribosomal RNA (305 nucleotides) under uncultured bacterium. RNAcentral describes it as "bacterial SSU rRNA". It matches the Rfam family "Bacterial small subunit ribosomal RNA", at positions 335 to 655 of the family's 1533-position model. The record is from RNAcentral.
GUCCUACGGGGGGCAGCAGUGGGGAAUAUUGGGCAAUGGGCGCAAGCCUGACCCAGCAACGCCGCGUGAAGGAAGAAGGCUUUCGGGUUGUAAACUUCUUUUAUGAGGGACGAAACAAAUGACGGUACCUCAUGAAUAAGCCACGGCUAACUACGUGCCAGCAGCCGCGGUAAUACGUAGGUGGCAAGCGUUAUCCGGAUUUACUGGGUGUGAAGGGUGCGUAGACGGGAAAUUAAGUUAGUUGUGAAAUCCCUCGGCUUAACUGAGGAACUGCAACUAAAACUGAUUUUCUUGAGUACUGGAGA